GUCGAGCGGAGUGAGGAGAAGCUUGCUUCUCUGAGACUUAGCGGCGGACGGGUGAGUAACACGUAGGCAACCUGCCCAUAAGACUGGGAUAACUACCGGAAACGGUAGCUAAUACCGGAUAGGUUCUUCUCUCGCAUGAGAGAAGAAAGAAAGACGGAGCAAUCUGUCACUUAUGGAUGGGCCUGCGGCGCAUUAGCUAGUUGGUGGGGUAAAGGCCUACCAAGGCGACGAUGCGUAGCCGACCUGAGAGGGUGAUCGGCCACACUGGGACUGAGACACGGCCCAGACUCCUACGGGAGGCAGCAGUAGGGAAUCUUCCGCAAUGGACGAAAGUCUGACGGAGCAACGCCGCGUGAGUGAUGAAGGUUUUCGGAUCGUAAAGCUCUGUUGCCAGGGAAGAACGUCCUUGAGAGUAACUGCUCAAGGAGUGACGGUACCUGAGAAGAAAGCCCCGGCUAACUACGUGCCAGCAGCCGCGGUAAUACGUAGGGGGCAAGCGUUGUCCGGAAUUAUUGGGCGUAAAGCGCGCGCAGGCGGUUAUUUAAGUUGGGUGUUUAAUCCCGGGGCUCAACCUCGGGUCGCACCCAAAACUGGGUAACUUGAGUACAGAAGAGGAAAGUGGAAUUCCACGUGUAGCGGUGAAAUGCGUAGAGAUGUGGAGGAACACCAGUGGCGAAGGCGACUUUCUGGGCUGUAACUGACGCUGAGGCG
This 711-nucleotide ribosomal RNA is filed under the name Paenibacillus sp. 11AL2. Its description in RNAcentral is "bacterial SSU rRNA". It matches the Rfam family "Bacterial small subunit ribosomal RNA", at positions 61 to 753 of the family's 1533-position model. The record is from RNAcentral. Lineage: Bacteria; Bacillati; Bacillota; Bacilli; Caryophanales; Paenibacillaceae.